GGAGAAGCAACUCUCGCGCAGGCGCACAAAGAAACAAAGGCACACGGCAUACAUCGCUGCGUUUACUCAUGACCAGCCCUGGGCUUUACACAGAGGUGCCUUCGGCGGGCUGCUCAAGAUGCCCCUCCUUCUUCUUGUCCUCCGGUUUCAUCGCUGGGAACAGAAGCACCUCCUUGAUAUUACUGGAAUCAGUAAGGAACAUGGUGAAGCGAUCGAUUCCCAUGCCCCAGCCAGCUGUAGGGGGAAGGCCAUACUCCAGUGCAGUGCAGAAGUUUUCAUCGAUAAACAUGGCUUCAUCAUCACCUGCAGCUUUUGCCUUAGCCUGGUCUUCAAAAAGCUGCCGCUGCUGGAAAGGAUCAUUCAGUUCUGUGUAUGCAUUACACACUUCCUUCUUCAUCACAAAGAGCUCAAAGCGUUCUGUUAGUCCCCGAUGAAUGCGAUGCCAUUUGGCUAGAGGACUCAUGAUCUGUGGAUGAUCACAGAUGAAAGUUGGGUUGAUACAAGUGACUUCGAGGAAUUCACCGACUAAUUUGUCAAGAAGCCUGGCUGUUGUCCUAGGAGGUGGACACUCCACAUUUCUCACUGCACAGAGGUCAUCAAAGAACCUUCGAGUUUCUUCAGUUUCAAAAGACUCAGUUGAUGGAAAUUUCACUCCUAAAGUCUUUUCCAGUUCAUCCACCAUACUAAUGCGCCGGAAGGGAGGGGUAAAAUCUAUCUCAUAGGCCUGUCCAUCUUGACCAUCUGGAUGGUAAGUGAUCUUGUAACUUCCAGUAAUGUGCUUCACCAUCCCUGAAAGCAACUUCUCUGUUAUUUCCAUCAAAUCACAGUAGUCUGCAUAAGCCAUGUAGAAUUCACAAGUUGUGAACUCAGGGUUGUGAGUCAAAUCAAUUCCUUCAUUCCGGAACUGACGUCCAAUUUCAUACACUCUAUCCAGGCCUCCAACCACCAACAUCUUAUGGUAAAGCUCUGGAGCAAUUCUCAUAUACAACUUCAUAUCCAGCUCAUUGUGGUAUGUGAUAAAAGGUUUUGCCAUAGCUCCACCUGGAAUUAUAUUCAUCAUAGGAGUUUCAAUCUCAAGGAAGCCCAAUUCAUCCAGAAAGCUCCGAAUAUAUGUCACAAUCUUUGCACGGGUUAUAAAUUUCUGCCUCACAUAAUCGUUAAGAAUUAAAUCCAAAUAUCUCUGCCGAUAUCUAGUUUCCUUGUCUUUGAGGCCAAAGUGAAGAUGAGGCAACAUGUGUAGGCAUGGAGAUAAAAGAGUUAUUUCAUAAGGAAUAAUACUCAGUUCUCCUUUCUUUGUUUUCCCAGGAUUCCCCACAACACCAAUAAUGUCCCCACGACGCAGUUUGUUGUUAAUACGGAAAUAUUCUUCCUCAGACUUGUAAAGCCUGGAAUUUGCCAUGACCUGCAACUUGACUCCUUCACCACGAAGAUCAUAGAAAAUCAGUUUCCCUCCAGAGGCACGCUUUGCAUGGAUACGACCUGCCACACUCACUGUAAUAUCUGUCAGGUGAUCUCCUGGCUGUAAGUGACUGUACCUCUCUAUAAAAUCUGAGAGAGAUAAGUCUACAUGGAACUUGUGGGGGUAAGGAUCUUCAUUGGUGCCCUUCAGC
This 1610-nucleotide long non-coding RNA is filed under the name Gallus gallus (chicken). Lineage: Eukaryota; Metazoa; Chordata; Aves; Galliformes; Phasianidae. The record is from RNAcentral.